UACGGAGGAUGCAAGCGUUAUCCGGAAUGAUUGGGCGUAAAGCGUCCGCAGGUGGCUAUGUAAGUCUGCUGUUAAAGAGCAAGGCUCAACCUUGUAAAGGCAGUGGAAACUACAUGGCUAGAGUGCGUUCGGGGCAGAGGGAAUUCCUGGUGUAGCGGUGAAAUGCGUAGGAGAUCAGGAAGAACACCGGUGGCGAAAGCGCUCUGCUAGGCCGCAACUGACACUGAGGGACGAAAGCCAGGGGAGCAAACGGG
This 254-nucleotide ribosomal RNA is filed under the name uncultured bacterium. RNAcentral describes it as "partial 16S ribosomal RNA". It matches the Rfam family "Bacterial small subunit ribosomal RNA", at positions 524 to 776 of the family's 1533-position model. The record is from RNAcentral.